This 1858-nucleotide long non-coding RNA is filed under the name Homo sapiens (human). RNAcentral's name for it is "HSALNT0015653". Lineage: Eukaryota; Metazoa; Chordata; Mammalia; Primates; Hominidae. The record is from RNAcentral.
UGCACUUAAUCUUCACAGUCACCAUAAGAGAUACUGACUGAUACAUGGGACAUCAAGUAGAGUCAUCAGAUGAUACUGCCUCAGUGGUGAGAGCAAAUUAGCCUUAGACCAAAGGCUAUUCUCCUCUUGCCAAAUGGUACCUAAAAGCACACCUUAAAAGGAUCAAUCUGUUUCCAAGGAACUUAACUAAGUCCCUGAACGAGGCUCAAAUAUAUUCAAAGGAAUACAAAAAAAUCUAGCACCAAACAACAUAAAAUAUACAAUGUCUGGCAUCCAAUCAAUAAUUACCAGGCAUGCAAAGACACAGGCAAAUAAUGACACAAAGCUGACCCAGAAAUGUCACAGAAUUAGUAGACAAGGACUUUAGCUCCAAUAGCUAUUAUUAAAUACCAUCCAUAUAUUCAAACAGAUAUGGAAAAACAUAAACACGAUGUAAAGAGGUGUGAAGAUAUAAAAUAAGACCUCAAUUGAACUUCUAAAGAUGAAAUGUAUAAUAUCUGAGAUGAAAAGUAUACUGGAUGGAAAUAAAAGCAGAUUAGACCCUGUAGAAAACAGGUUUUUGAAGACUUAGCAAUAGAAACUAUCCAAGAUGAAACACAGAGAGGAAAAAAAGACUUAAAAACAAAAAACAAAAAACAAAAACAAAACCUCCAAAACCAAAAUCCAGAAAAUCAGUGAGCUGUGGAAUAACAAGUAGCCUGUAUACCUGUUUGGAGACCAGAAACGUGGGUCUAACAGAUUCACAGGAGAGAUGACAGAAAAAAUAUCUGAAGGAACAAUAAUUUUCAAAUUUGAUGGAAACUAUAAAUCCCUAUGUCGAAGAAGCUCAAUAAACCCUAAGCAGAAGAAAUAUGAAGACAACUACACCAAGGGUACAUCAUAAUCUGCCUUAAUCACUGCUGAACACCAGUGAUAAAGACACAAAUCUUAAGAGCUGCCAGAGGAAAAAAACACAUUGUGUAAAAAGGAAAAAUAGAAGUGAUUUCUCGUCAGAAACAAUGCAACCCUGAAGACAGUGGAGUAAUGUCUUUAAAGUACGAAAAGAUAAAAACUGUCAACCUAGAAUUCAGUGGAGAUAUCUUUCAAAUAGGAAGAUGGAAUAAAGAUGCAUUCAGACAUUCCAAAAUUGAAAGAAUUCAUCAUCAGUAGACCUGCACUAGAAGAACGGCUUUAAAAAGUCCUUCAAGCAGAAGAAAAAUGAUACCAGAUGGAAAUCUCCGUCUACACAAAGGAAUGAAGAGAGCUGGAAAUGGUAAAUAUGUGGGUAGAUAGAAAAGAUAUUUUUCUGAUUUUAAAAUUCUCUUUAAAAGAUACUUGAGGGUUUAGAGCAAAUCUAAUAAUGUAUUGUGGGGCUUAUAGCAUGUGUAGAAAUAAAUCCAUGGUGACAAUAGCACAAAGGCGGAGAGGUGGGGAAUGGGAGGAAGGUGUUUGCGCUGAGUGGUGUGAUAUUACUUGAUGGAGAUAGACUAUAAGUUAAAGAAGCAUUGUGUAAUCCUAAAAGAACCACAAAAAAAUGUAAGUGUAGUAUUAUGAACCAAUAAAGGAGAUAAAAUGAAGAUCACAAGGGGUGUGCUGGCCACCCCCUUGGCACACAGAACAGUUGGGUGGAGUUCCCCAGCCCAGCAGGGUCCCAUAGAGCCUCUGUAGGUGUUUGGGAUAGAAUGAGUACCGUCAGAAAGAAACUUCCUCUCCUGCCACCUUCUGGCAGUAAAUCCAGCCUAUUUUUAACUCAGGCCUCUGCUUAAGUGCUUUUGGCUAAAAGAGAAUUGCUGCUUCUAAGAAUCUCAGGCAGCCACAGUCUCCUCGGCUUCUCUGCUCGCUCCAGCCCUAGAAGGCUCAGGGACUGCUCAGAUGUCCC